CACGUAGGCGGCUUUGUAAGUAAGAGGUGAAAGCCCAGAGCUCAACUCUGGAAUUGCCUUUUAGACUGCAUCGCUUGAAUCAUGGAGAGGUCAGUGGAAUUCCGAGUGUAGAGGUGAAAUUCGUAGAUAUUCGGAAGAACACCAGUGGCGAAGGCGGCUGACUGGACAUGUAUUGACGCCGAGGUGCGAAAGCGUGGGGAGCAAACAGGAUUAGAUACCCUGGUAGUCCACGCCGUAAACGAUGAUAACUAGCUGUCCGGACACUUGGUGUUUGGGUGGCGCAGCUAACGCAUUAAGUUAUCCGCCUGGGGAGUACGGCCGCAAGGUUAAA
Molecule: ribosomal RNA, 331 nt
Filed under: uncultured bacterium
Lineage: Bacteria
Description: bacterial SSU rRNA
Rfam family: Bacterial small subunit ribosomal RNA
Source: RNAcentral